Molecule: long non-coding RNA, 2332 nt
Filed under: Callithrix jacchus (white-tufted-ear marmoset)
Lineage: Eukaryota; Metazoa; Chordata; Mammalia; Primates; Cebidae
Description: lncRNA (ENSCJAG00000053405.2)
Source: RNAcentral
CUACUUAUCUUUCAAAACGUCUUUUUGUUACACCAAGUUCACCUUCUAGGGCAUCUCAUUUUCUUCAGAUUUUCGGUUGCCUAGGAAGUUAAAUAGGGGAUUGUUUCAGGAAACGCGAGACGAUGUGGGCUGCUGUGUUCUCUGUAAGCCCUUGCCAGGUGGAAGGAGGGGCUGCUUUUUAUCUGACAAGAAUUUCUGCAGCAGCGGGCAGGCUCAUUAAGACUUUUCCCAUGCCACAUAACAAAAGACGGCUGGGGAAAACACGUGAGUGGCCGGAGCUGCGUGUUCCUUUGUCUCCCUGGCUGGGAAGGCACGGUUAGGAGCAGCCGAUUACACUUACUGUGCUUUCCGUGAAAGAAAAGCGUGGCCCCAGGCGCUGACAGAGAUACGAGCAUCUUAAUUUUGAAUGAAUCAUCCAUGGUAGUUGCUAUGGUUUGAAUGAUCCCUCCAGCACUCAUGCUGAAACGUAACCCUCAACAUGGCAGAACCGAGAGGUGGGGCCUUCAGGAGGUGACCGCAUCAGGGGGCUAUGCUCUCAAGAAGGGAUUAAUUCAUAAAUGAACAGAUGAAUGGGCUACCAUGGGAAUGGAACUGGCGUGCUGAUAAGAAGGGGAAGAGAGCCCUGAGCCAGCAUGCUUGUAUGCUCAGCCCCUCACCAUGUGAUGCCCUGCAUGACCUCAGGACCAGGUAGAGAUGCCUACCAGCAAGAUGGCCUUCACCAGAUGCAGUCUCUCAGCCUUGGACUUCACAGCCUCCAUAACUUGGAGACGGGAAACAAGCCUGUAAACAGGAAUAGUUUGUGCCUCAAAGAAGGAAGCCCAGAAGCUGAACAGACGCUCUAAGUGCUUCCACCAAGGACUUCCUCAGCACAAGAAGUGCCCCUGCUGCCCCGGAAUGAGGCCCUCAGUUAUGGGGAGGUCCCUCCAUGGGGUCCCGCAGCUCCCCCAGGGUCUCACCUCCUAAGAAGACUUUCCAGUGCCAGAGACCCUGGCUGGGAGCUGACUUGUGAGACUCUUUCAGGGAUGCAGAGUGUGCCCUGACGGUGCGCAGCACACAGAGGGCUUCCUGAUGACAGGGUCGGUGCUGGCCAUGCCCUGCGACAGAGAGGAGAAGCUGGGCCAGGGCCCCCAGGAGCCCAUCUGAGAUGGCUGCAAGGCAAAGCACUGAAAUGUUCUAUUUCUCAGUGAGGGUUUGGUUCAUCGACAUUUGCAUCCCUGAACCUCCCUUACUAACCUGUCCCCUCACAGUCCUCAUCGAAAUACAUGUCAAGUUGAAAACUCUGGUCAUAGGGCAGCAAUUCCAGUGACCAGCAAGGCCAGCAGCGUCCAGGCGACUCCUCUGAGCCUGCGUGUCACUGUUGCACUGGGGGCUGACUGUGGCCGGGCCGUCCUGCAGUUGAGGGCAGGAGCUGCGCUGAUCCCGCCCCUGCUCAGGCAGUGGUGCCCCAGGAAGGACCUGCACCAUUUAGGGCAGGUGUGAUGCUGGGUGACAAAAGCCCUAAAGACAUUACAAAGCACAUUCUUCAUGACCAAAAUCCCUGGUAGGAUGCAGACAAACGGAGGAGGCAAAACGGAGGUCCGCCUGAACCCUGGCUCUCCUCGGAGGCUUUAGAAACUCCGCUGGCUUACAAAGCCUUCACAUGGAACCUCUGCUAUCACCUGCGUUUCAAUCACCCGCUCAUUACUUCUUACAAGUGAUUCUGGAAAAGGCCAGGAUGGACUAGUCUUUGCCUAUUUUGUGUGAAUUCUAAGCGAGAUGAAGGGGAACACAGAGUGAGUUGACCACAGGCCCCAUUUGACACGGUCCCACCCAGUGAGACCCGGGCUGGACCUCGCCUUCCUCCUUCUGCUGUUUCCUUGCUUCUGACUCUUUCAAAGCUCUUGGUCUUUAAGGAAACACUCUUCCUAAUGCAUUGUCCAGUACCCUGACACACGCAGUCAACCAAAACGGAAAAAGGAUAAACUCAGGGACCCCUGAGCAUAACGUGCACGAAGGAUGGAGGGACUUGUCUGAUGUCCCCGCUGUGUGACUUGAGGGGACACAUUGAUGAAAACAUGCAGGAGAAGGUCUACAGCCCGUGACACCCCGAGGCCCGUCUACACGGUGGGGAAGGCGCAGGAGUCUGGAGGGGGCCCAGGGCGCCAGCUCGGCUCUCUGCAAGGAGCCCAGUGACAGAAACUAAUAAAGCCACUUCGCUUCCAUUGCUCAAUGCAGCACAUUGAGAUGCCCCCAUCACCCCCGUGUACAUGGCAAAGAUGAAGUGAGAGCACGGCCAGCAUGUAGUCGGGGGAACCUCCACGCUGACGAUGGACCCACCCCACGUGCACGGUUA